This 1049-nucleotide long non-coding RNA is filed under the name Helianthus annuus (common sunflower). RNAcentral describes it as "hypothetical non coding rna". Lineage: Eukaryota; Viridiplantae; Streptophyta; Magnoliopsida; Asterales; Asteraceae. The record is from RNAcentral.
GGUAAACAAAAAGAGAGGGAAAUAAUACUUAUGGGAGAAAGUAAAAAAUUAAUAAAACAUUAAAAAACUUUUAGAAAAAUAAACAUAAAAGACCAAACACGAACUAACACGAAUGGACAUAAACGAACGAACAUAUUACCGAGCGUUCACGGACGCAGUCGAACGGACGAGACUUUUGUUCGUGUUGGUUCGUUAAGCUUAUCGAACUAAAUUUUUUGUUCGUGUUCGUUCGUUAAGCUUAUCGAACGAACAUAAACAAACUUCCCGCCGAACGGUUCACGAAUAGUUCGCUGAACGUUCGCUUCGUUUACAACCCUACGGCGGUUAGUACCGGUUUGGUAUAGUGUAGCAUACAUCUUGGAUGGCAAGAACCAGACAUUUAGGCAAACAAGUUUGACGUCAAACUUAAAACAGGAUUUUAAUGAAUUCGUGGUGAUUCUGUUCUUGUGAGUGUUCCCUUUGUUUCGAUCUAGUACGGAUUAUCACAUUGAUAAUCUGAUUAAGAGAUAGUUGUUUAGUUGAGUGAAUAUGUGUUGAGUUCAGAUUGUAUAUGUUGUAAGGUGUUGGCGCGGGUUGUCGGUUUUUUCUGUCCCCGUCGCUGUUUAUAAAAGUUAUCCUUCAAAAAAAAAAAGUAUUCAGUUCAGAUCUGUAUCGUUUUAAAGAAUAAACGUCUUAUUGGUUUGGGUUCUUUAUUAAUACUGGUAGAUCUGCUGUGAUACCCUGUUUUUGACAAGUAAUCUCAAUAACAUAGUAAAACUGAUUCAAUACAAGUGUUUCAUCAGCUUCCUAGAAGAACACUUUGGCUAUAAACAUUUUUGAAGUUGUUAUAUAUCCCCUUAAACGUGUGGGAGCAAAUCCUCCUAAAAAGUGACGGGAACUAGAAACUUUUAACUGGGCUCAGUAUUGAUCUAAACAAAUAAAUAUAAAUAAUAAAUUAUCUAAUUUUUUCAAUGGCCUUUAGUCUAGUGACACUAGGCGUUUAUUAUCACUAAUGGUGAAGUUUAGGAGUAAAUAAUAAAAGGGUGUUCAUCAGCUAAAAAGAAUUAUCC